AUGCAUCACUGUAAGCGAUACCGCUCCCCUGAGCCAGACCCCUACCUGAGCUACCGAUGGAAGAGGAGGAGGUCUUACAGUCGGGACCACGAAGGGAGACUGCGGUACCCGUCUCGAAGGGAGCCUCCGCCCCGGAGAUCUCGGUCCCGAAGCCACGACCGCCUGCCCUACCAGAGGAGGUUACCACAGGGAGCGCCGUGACAGCGACACGUACCGGUGUGAAGAGCGGAGCCCGUCCUUCGGCGAGGACUGCUAUGGGUCUUCACGUUUCCCACCACCGCCGGCGUCGUCGCGGGAGAGGGAGCCGUACCGGGCCCGCAAGCACGCCCACCACUGCCACAAACGCCGCACCAGGUCUUGUAGCAGCGCCUCUCGGUGAGUGGUGGCCAGAGUGUGCUGGCUGGGGCUUCAAGGUCCCAUCUCUUUCUAGCCUUCUCUCAGGCUGGCUGGUCUGGGUGAGUACUGCCAGCCCCGCGCACGCGCAUUGCGUGUGCGUGCGUGUGUGUGCGUGUGUGUGUCUGUGUCGUCUGGUCCAGGUGCAGGGCUGAGCGGGGGGGGGGCCCGGCCCCUCCGACUUCUGGCCGUUGGCGGCGGCAGUGAGAGGGGCUCUGGUUCCGGCGCCGGCUGGCCCCCCGGCCUGUCUGCGUCUCCACGCUGCUCCGGGCCCCGGGCCAUGUGGUGCGCGUGGCCGGGGACACUUAGGGAACCUGAUAGGGUUGCUGGUAUGUGGUCUGGAGCUGCGUGGCCAGGUCCCUCCCGCCCGGAGAUGGCCCGCAGCCACAGCCGCAGCCAUGGGCACUGGCUGGAGUGCACACGGGUAGGGGAGGCCUGUCAGUCAGCUCAGGCCGGGAGCUUCCCUCUUCGACCUCUGACCUCCAGCCAGGCCCUCUGCAGCCUCGCCUCUUCCCAUGAGGGGCAGUCAAGACAAGGGGGUCAGGCCGCCCGUGUGCCGGGGCGCGUGGACGGAUGGCAGGAAGGCCCGCAGCCCCAGGCCUUGUCUGGUUGCCGGCCACACGCCGGGAGCGGGGCCUGGCCGUGUCGGGAGCGUGGAGGUGGUCUGGAUCUCUGCCGCGCUGCACUC
RNAcentral lists this long non-coding RNA (1081 nucleotides) under Zalophus californianus (California sea lion). RNAcentral's name for it is "lncRNA (ENSZCAG00015017932.1)". Lineage: Eukaryota; Metazoa; Chordata; Mammalia; Carnivora; Otariidae. The record is from RNAcentral.